GUCAAUGUUACAUCACGACAACAUUUUUAUCCACUUCGAAUAUUUUGCUUAAUUUUUUAUAUACGUAUAGCAAUCGUCACUAGAAUUUACUAAUUAAUAUAAACUAUUAAAGAUUAAUCAUAAGUAGUUCUUCAAACUUAAUUCCAUUUUCUCGUAUGCAGUAAAUUAUGAUGGAAUAAAUAUGAAAAAUGCAAAUGAUGUCUUGAAGUUUAUACUACAACUAAGGAUUACAUUAACAGUUCUUAUUUGUAUUUUAAAAUGUUCCAAUUGAAUACACAUAAAUUGUUCAUAAGUUCCUGUUAUAUGUAGUAAAGGUCCAUUAUUAUGUUUUUCUCUAUAAAUGGGAAAAUCUUUUGAGGUAAGUAAAAAUUUUUCAUCACGUGCUGAUCUGUCUUCUGUAAUUCUAUUAUACAUUUCUGUUAUAGCAUAACGUCCAGAUUUUAAGUACUUUUUUAAUCUGCCCAAAUAGUUUUCAUACCAAAAAGCAUUGAAGUAAUUGAUGUUACCAUAUUUUAGUACAUCGUUGGGAAGAUGAAAAACAUUUGAAGAAGGUAAUACAGCAUUGAGCAACUACACCUCAGAUGAGUCUCACAUAAAACCUUAUAAACGUUUAAUAGUUCCCAAUAAACGUUUAUUAAGUUCUGAUGAUGAACAGGUUUUUAAAAAGAUAAAAAAUACAAAUGCAUUUUCAAUGCCAGAUAUGCCAACAUAUGAAUCUUUUGAUAAUGAAGAAAAUUUGCAUCUGAAUUUAGAUUCAAUAGCAUUAAAAGACUGUUCCAAUAAUCAAGAAAAUCAAUUAUAGAUGUUGUUUAUGUUUUACAAAAUAUUACAGAAACAGAAUAUAAGACUUACUUAGGUCAGUGACUCAGACAAGCCAGCAACAGAAAAAAUGAAAAAAAAAACCUUAUAGUUUGAUAUAUAUAUGUGGGAAA
Daktulosphaira vitifoliae (grape phylloxera) is the source of this 932-nucleotide RNA transcript. RefSeq lists it as uncharacterized. NCBI's taxonomy places the organism in Eukaryota, Metazoa, Arthropoda, Insecta, Hemiptera, Phylloxeridae. The record is from RefSeq and is a predicted model, not a curated record. The transcript is spliced from 6 exons.